AGAGAGCAGUGGCGAGGAGUCGGAGUAAGGCAGAGGGUGGAAGCGUUAAUCGGAAUGACGGGGCUUGAGGCGGGCGGAGGCGGGUAUGUAAGGCGGGUGGUAAAGCCCCUGGCGCAACCUGGGAAGUGCAUUCGAGACUGCAGAGCUAGGGUGCGGAAGAGGGAAGCGGAAUUGCCGUUGUAGCGGUGAAAUGCGUAGAUAUCGGAAGGAACACCAGUGGCGAAAGCGGCUUCCUGGUCCAGCACCGACGUUCAGGCACGAAAGCGUGGGGAGCAAACAGGAUUAGAUACCCUAGUAGUC
RNAcentral lists this ribosomal RNA (300 nucleotides) under uncultured Halanaerobaculum sp. RNAcentral describes it as "bacterial SSU rRNA". The stretch from base 52 to 300 matches the Rfam family "Bacterial small subunit ribosomal RNA", at positions 547 to 795 of the family's 1533-position model. The record is from RNAcentral. Lineage: Bacteria; Bacillati; Bacillota; Clostridia; Halanaerobiales; Halobacteroidaceae.